AGACGUCUACAUUAGAUACCCCUGUAGUCCCAGCCGUAAACUAUGCGCGUUAGGUGUAUCGGUGACCACGAGUUACCGAGGUGCCGAAGGGAAACCGUGAAACGUGCCGCCUGGGAAGUACGGUCGCAAGGCUGAAACUUAAAGGAAUUGCGGGGAGCACCACAACAGGUGGAGCCUGCGGUUUAAUUGGACUCAACGCCGGGAAGCUCACCGGAUAGGACAGCAGAAUGAUUGCCGGGCUGAAGACCCUGCAUGACUAGCUG
RNAcentral lists this ribosomal RNA (263 nucleotides) under uncultured archaeon. RNAcentral's name for it is "partial 16S ribosomal RNA". It matches the Rfam family "Archaeal small subunit ribosomal RNA", at positions 714 to 982 of the family's 1478-position model. The record is from RNAcentral.